UACGUAGGUGGCGAGCGUUAUCCGGAAUUAUUGGGCGUAAAGAGCGCGCAGGUGGUUGAUUAAGUCUGAUGUGAAAGCCCACGGCUUAACCGUGGAGGGUCAUUGGAAACUGGUCGACUUGAGUGCAGAAGAGGGAAGUGGAAUUCCAUGUGUAGCGGUGAAAUGCGUAGAGAUAUGGAGGAACACCAGUGGCGAAGGCGGCUUCCUGGUCUGUAGCUGACACUGAGGCGCGAAAGCGUGGGGAGCAAACAGGAUUAGA
This 259-nucleotide ribosomal RNA is filed under the name uncultured prokaryote. RNAcentral's name for it is "partial 16S ribosomal RNA". It matches the Rfam family "Bacterial small subunit ribosomal RNA", at positions 524 to 782 of the family's 1533-position model. The record is from RNAcentral.